GUGGGGAAUAUUGGACAAUGGGCGCAAGCCUGAUCCAGCCAUGCCGCGUGAGUGAUGAAGGCCUUAGGGUUGUAAAGCUCUUUCACCGAUGAAGAUAAUGACGGUAGUCGGAGAAGAAGCCCCGGCUAACUUCGUGCCAGCAGCCGCGGUAAUACGAAGGGGGCUAGCGUUGUUCGGAUUUACUGGGCGUAAAGCGCACGUAGGCGGUUUGUUAAGUCAGAGGUGAAAUCCCGGAGCUCAACUCCGGAACUGCCUUUGAUACUGGCAAGCUAGAGUCCGGAAGAGGUAAGUGGAACUCCUAGUGUAGAGGUGGAAUUCGUAGAUAUUAGGAAGAACACCAGUGGCGAAGGCGGCUUACUGGUCCGGAACUGACGCUGAGGUGCGAAAGCGUGGGGAGCAAACAGGAUUAGAUACCCCUGUAGUCC
This 425-nucleotide ribosomal RNA is filed under the name uncultured bacterium. Its description in RNAcentral is "partial 16S ribosomal RNA". It matches the Rfam family "Bacterial small subunit ribosomal RNA", at positions 354 to 796 of the family's 1533-position model. The record is from RNAcentral.